UCCUACGGGAGGCAGCAGUAGGGAAUAUUGCGCAAUGGGCGAAAGCCUGACGCAGCAACACCGUGUGAGCGAUGAAGGCCUUCGGGUCGUAAAGCUCUGUCAGGUGGGAAGAAACCCGGUUGGUAGAUAAUACCGGCCGGCUGACGGUACCACCAGAGGAAGCUCCGGCUAACUCCGUGCCAGCAGCCGCGGUAAUACGGAGGGAGCAAGCGUUGUUCGGAAUUACUGGGCGUAAAGGGCGCGUAGGCGGUUUGGUAAGUCAGAUGUGAAAUUCACCGGCUCAACCGGUCGAACUGCAUCCGAUACUGCCAGGCUUGAGAUCAGUAGAGGAGAGUGGAAUUCCCAGUGUAGCGGUGGAAUGCGUAGAUAUUGGGAAGAACACCGGUGGCGAAGGCGGCUCUCUGGACUGAUUCUGACGCUGAGGCGCGAAAGCUAGGGGAGCGAACAGGAUUAGAUACCCGGGUAGUCGC
RNAcentral lists this ribosomal RNA (470 nucleotides) under uncultured bacterium. RNAcentral's name for it is "bacterial SSU rRNA". It matches the Rfam family "Bacterial small subunit ribosomal RNA", at positions 337 to 797 of the family's 1533-position model. The record is from RNAcentral.